Molecule: ribosomal RNA, 253 nt
Filed under: uncultured bacterium
Lineage: Bacteria
Description: partial 16S ribosomal RNA
Rfam family: Bacterial small subunit ribosomal RNA
Source: RNAcentral
UACGUAGGGUGCGAGCGUUAAUCGGAAUUACUGGGCGUAAAGCGUGCGCAGGCGGUUUUGUAAGCCCGAUGUGAAAGCCCCGGGCUCAACCUGGGAAUGGCAUUUGGGACUGCAAGGCUGGAGUUUGGCAGAGGAGACUGGAAUUCCUGGUGUAGCAGUGAAAUGCGUAGAUAUCGGGAGGAAUACCGAUGGCGAAGGCAGGUCUCUGGGCUAUAACUGACGCUCAUGCACGAAAGCGUGGGGAGCAAACAGG